RNAcentral lists this transfer RNA (74 nucleotides) under Candidatus Acetothermia bacterium. RNAcentral describes it as "tRNA-Ile". It matches the Rfam family "tRNA". Rfam says of the family: Transfer RNA (tRNA) molecules are approximately 80 nucleotides in length. RNAcentral also lists the same sequence under 3 other names. Lineage: Bacteria; Candidatus Bipolaricaulota. The record is from RNAcentral.
GGGUCUGUAGCUCAGUCGGUUAGAGCGCUCGCCUGAUAAGCGGGAGGUCCCUGGUUCGAAUCCAGGCAGGCCCA